RNAcentral lists this ribosomal RNA (497 nucleotides) under uncultured bacterium. Its description in RNAcentral is "partial 16S ribosomal RNA". It matches the Rfam family "Bacterial small subunit ribosomal RNA", at positions 28 to 507 of the family's 1533-position model. The record is from RNAcentral.
GAUGAACGCUGGCGGCGUGCCUAAUACAUGCCAGUCGAGCGAACAGACGAGGAGCUUGCUCCUCUGACGUUAGCGGCGGACGGGUGAGUAACACGUGGAUGACCUACCUAUAAGACUGGGAUAACUUCGGGAAACCGGAGCUAAUACCGGAUUAUAUAUUGAACCGCAUGGUUCAAUAGUGAAAGACGGUUUUGCUGUCACUUAUAGAUGGAUCCGCGCCGCAUUAGCUAGUUGGUAAGGUAACGGCUUACCAAGGCAACGAUGCGUAGCCGACCUGAGAGGGUGAUCGGCCACACUGGAACUGAGACACGGUCCAGACUCCUACGGGAGGCAGCAGUAGGGAAUCUUCCGCAAUGGGCGAAAGCCUGACGGAGCAACGCCGCGUGAGUGAUGAAGGUCUUCGGAUCGUAAAACUCUGUUAUUAGGGAAGAACAAAUGUGUAAGUAACUAUGCACGUCUUGACGGUACCUAAUCAGAAAGCCACGGCUAACUACGUG